CCUGCUUUCACCUUGCAUACCACUUGAUUUCACCGCAAGAAUCCAAAAAUCUCAAUUACAUCUUCAGACCUCUAUCUACUUUGUAGAUAAAAAAAAUGGUAGCAUGAAGCAGGGAUUUUGGAGAUAAAAAUCCCACAAUUCAAAAUUUAUAAAGAGGGAGGAUGGGAGGUCCCAACGAAAAAAAAAUUCCCACCCUCACUGCCUUCAUCACCAUCAUCACAGUCCACCAUCAACCGAACACACUAGAGACCCCACCGAUCACCAGCCGAUGCCACCCACCAAAAACUACCACCAACGACCUUUCCGUAAUCAACCCAAAAGAAACUAGCCGAGACCUCCCCUUUCACUAAACAAAAAUAUCCAGCUCCUAGAAACUACCAAGUCUAGGUUCACCGACACCAUUGAAGCCCCUCAUCAGAACUAUCCUAUGAACCCACUUACCCUUCAUCGCCAGAACCAUUAUAGCUGAACCACCCAUCACCGUUCUUCCAUAAUUAACUCCCCACAACCCUCAUCCAAG
This 520-nucleotide long non-coding RNA is filed under the name Durio zibethinus. RNAcentral's name for it is "long non-coding RNA (DZIB_LNC001126)". Lineage: Eukaryota; Viridiplantae; Streptophyta; Magnoliopsida; Malvales; Malvaceae. The record is from RNAcentral.